Long non-coding RNA from Dunckerocampus dactyliophorus (ringed pipefish), 1006 nucleotides. RefSeq lists it as uncharacterized. The transcript is spliced from 3 exons. The record is from RefSeq and is a predicted model, not a curated record. NCBI's taxonomy places the organism in Eukaryota, Metazoa, Chordata, Actinopteri, Syngnathiformes, Syngnathidae.
GGCAUGAAGUUCUUGAUUGCUCUGCGUGAGUUUUAUGAAUAAGUAAGCACGUUUGUUGUGUAUUAGGAGUGUUUAAUUUCUAUUGGUGUUGCAAUCUGCACACUGUGAAAUCCUGUCAAUGUGUGUGACGUCAGGAUGAGAGAGCGGAGAUUCCUCUGAAAAUGAGGCUUUAUCGCUGCUGACUGCAAGUGGACAAAAGUGAAGCUCAAGUUCAACCCAUUCAAAGGGAAGGAUCCCAACAUCCGAUACUUUAUUCACCUCCAAGAGAAAUUCACAUCCUAUCUAUCUGUCAGUGCUCAUGUCACAUGGAAGCCGGAACAUACAGCUGACAUUAGGAAAAGUCGACUCGGCCAUGGACUGAUCGCUACUCCGUUUUCUACUUACAUUUUUUUGUCUUUUACAUUAGUGUUAUAUGGAGGUAGUAGUAGUUACAAUAACAUAGCUGACUUUAAUAAAAAAUGAGCCAUGCUCAAUGUGGUUCUCACCCAUAACAAGCUUGGAUAACAAGACCCCAACCUUCUCAUGACUCUGAAGCAGUACAGAAAUUAUAGCUGGAUAGAUGAAUGGAGAAGCAUUCAUUUAUCAGUUGCAUUCUAUUUGAUAUGCUAUGGUGUUAAUUGUAGCUUAUCGGAAGCGGCAGUGGUUCAAAAAGCUGACAUGGCUGGGGGUCAAUGCUCCGGUCAUUCCAGGGUGUAAACCACCUUUCUGAAUGAUGUUAAAUGGGUACAGUGAGGCUGCAUUUAGAGAAGCAGACAUGAUAAAGUAGGAUACGCAUACCAGAGUGUUUAUAUGUUCCUCUCCCCACCGUGAGUCAUUCAGAAUGGAUACAAAUACAUAAAUAUUAGGGAUGUCUGUUAAUAUCGACCCGAUAUUGGCAUAAAAAUGUAAUAUCAGUCAAUAUCGUUAUCAGGAUUCCCUAUAAUGAUAAUAAACAUAAUGCUGUAUGUAGGCUUAUGGGCUCCUGUAUUUUCCAGUGCGCAAAUGAUGACCUCAUCAAGCGUGUAAA